Molecule: long non-coding RNA, 413 nt
Organism: Ipomoea triloba (trilobed morning glory)
Lineage: Eukaryota; Viridiplantae; Streptophyta; Magnoliopsida; Solanales; Convolvulaceae
Exons: 2
Source: RefSeq, a predicted model, not a curated record
UGUUAGCUCAUUAGGAUGGAUUGUGAUGUUAUUUUGUGUGGGUUUGUUGUGGUUUGAGGAAAGGGUUUGAUGUUAUGGUGGUGUUUUGGCUUGAGAAAAGAAAAGGAGAAUUUAGAAGAGAAGAUUAAGAGAUGGAUUUUUGGAGCUUUAGCUAUGGAGGUAUACUUGAGCAAGCAUUAUAGGAACCGCAGAUUAGGUGAUCCAGAUUUCGUUCUAGAUUUUGAGGAGAUUUAUGUUAUUGAUUCAAAGACAAGUCUAUUACAAUUUACAAGAGCUAAAGUGGUGGUAAGGGACAUCUUUGAUUUUAAUGUAUUUAAUUGGAUCUAGUGAUGAUAUGUAAGGGACUUCUUUGAUUUUAAUGUAUUUAAUUGGAUCUAGUGAUGAUAUGUGUGGCUCCAAUUGGGCCAAGCCAA